Molecule: non-coding RNA, 26 nt
Filed under: Cricetulus griseus (Chinese hamster)
Lineage: Eukaryota; Metazoa; Chordata; Mammalia; Rodentia; Cricetidae
Source: RNAcentral
CUCAACCUGUAGGUCCCAACCCCUGG